GCCCCGGUAGCUCAACUGGAUAGAGCAAGUGCCUUCUAAGCACUAGGUCGGGGGUUCGAGUCCCUCCCGGGGCG
This 74-nucleotide transfer RNA is filed under the name Gammaproteobacteria bacterium. RNAcentral describes it as "tRNA-Arg". It matches the Rfam family "tRNA". From Rfam's summary of the family: Transfer RNA (tRNA) molecules are approximately 80 nucleotides in length. Their secondary structure includes four short double-helical elements and three loops (D, anti-codon, and T loops). The record is from RNAcentral. Lineage: Bacteria; Pseudomonadati; Pseudomonadota; Gammaproteobacteria.